Molecule: unclassified non-coding RNA, 357 nt
Filed under: Hevea brasiliensis (rubber tree)
Lineage: Eukaryota; Viridiplantae; Streptophyta; Magnoliopsida; Malpighiales; Euphorbiaceae
Source: RNAcentral
CUCCGGCCUUCCUCCUAUAACCAUCCCCUCCACCCUGCACGCCGUCUCAGCCUUCCGGCGAAAUCGCCGCCACAACUACCUCUUGCAGUCGCUCGCCACUUCGAGCAAACGGAGUUACUUAUCUCUAUUUUUUUUCCCCCUCAAAAACACAGUGGUCGACCCCCUUACCCUCGCCGUUGGUGAGAUCGCGCCGCCGCCGCUCAUUUUUCGGAUCCCAAGAAUAAGAUGGCUUUGCGAGGUGUUUGGCAGCUUAAGAAGCUGGUUGUUAGCUAUUGUGAUUGGGGAGGAAGCAGCAGGGGUAUCAGGGCAUUUAUGGACUCACAAUUGCCAGCUUUUAAGGAGAAAAAUCCUCAGCUA